GCCCUGAUAGCUCAGCUGGAUAGAGCGGUCCCCUCCUAAGGGACAGGUCGGUGGUUCGAAUCCACUUUGGGGCACCA
Molecule: transfer RNA, 77 nt
Filed under: Methylococcaceae bacterium
Lineage: Bacteria; Pseudomonadati; Pseudomonadota; Gammaproteobacteria; Methylococcales; Methylococcaceae
Also listed under: 1 other name
Description: tRNA-Arg
Rfam family: tRNA
About the family: Transfer RNA (tRNA) molecules are approximately 80 nucleotides in length.
Source: RNAcentral